UACGUAGGGGGCUAGCGUUGUCCGGAAUCAUUGGGCGUAAAGAGCGUGUAGGCGGCUAGGUAGGUCCGUUGUGAAAACUCGAGGCUCAACCUCGAGACGUCGAUGGAAACCAUCUAGCUAGAGUCCGGAAGAGGAGAGUGGAAUUCCUGGUGUAGCGGUGAAAUGCGCAGAUAUCAGGAAGAACACCCGUGGCGAAGGCGGCUCUCUGGUACGUGACUGACGCUGAGACGCGAAAGCGUGGGGAGCAAACAGG
Molecule: ribosomal RNA, 253 nt
Filed under: uncultured bacterium
Lineage: Bacteria
Description: partial 16S ribosomal RNA
Rfam family: Bacterial small subunit ribosomal RNA
Source: RNAcentral